AGAAGUCGAGCGCGUAGCAAUACGAGCGGCAGACGGGUGAGUAACGCGUGGGAAUCUACCCUUUUCUACGGAAUAACGCAGGGAAACUUGUGCUAAUACCGUAUGAGCCCUUCGGGGGAAAGAUUUAUCGGGAAAGGAUGAGCCCGCGUUGGAUUAGCUAGUUGGUGGGGUAAAGGCCUACCAAGGCGACGAUCCAUAGCUGGUCUGAGAGGAUGAUCAGCCACAUUGGGACUGAGACACGGCCCAAACUCCUACGGGAGGCAGCAGUGGGGAAUAUUGGACAAUGGGCGCAAGCCUGAUCCAGCCAUGCCGCGUGAGUGAUGAAGGCCCUAGGGUUGUAAAGCUCUUUCACCGGUGAAGAUAAUGACGGUAACCGGAGAAGAAGCCCCGGCUAACUUCGUGCCAGCAGCCGCGGUAAUACGAAGGGGGCUAGCGUUGUUCGGAAUUACUGGGCGUAAAGCGCACGUAGGCGGAUUGUUAAGUGAGGGGUGAAAUCCCAGGGCUCAACCCUGGAACUGCCUUUCAUACUGGCAAUCUAGAGUCCGGAAGAGGUGAGUGGAAUUCCGAGUGUANAGGUGAAAUUCGUAGAUAUUCGGAGGAACACCAGUGGCGAA
Molecule: ribosomal RNA, 614 nt
Filed under: uncultured bacterium
Lineage: Bacteria
Description: bacterial SSU rRNA
Rfam family: Bacterial small subunit ribosomal RNA
Source: RNAcentral